Molecule: ribosomal RNA, 253 nt
Filed under: uncultured bacterium
Lineage: Bacteria
Description: partial 16S ribosomal RNA
Rfam family: Bacterial small subunit ribosomal RNA
Source: RNAcentral
UACAGAGACUGCAAGCGUUAUUCGGAUUCACUGGGCGUAAAGGGUGCGCAGGCGGCCAAGUGUGUUAGGCGUGAAAGCCCGGGGCUUAACCCCGGAAUUGCACCUAAAACUACAUGGCUAGAGCAUUGGAGAGGGUAGCGGAAUUCACGGUGUAGCAGUGAAAUGCGUAGAUAUCGUGAGGAACACCAGAGGCGAAGGCGGCUACCUGGACAAUUGCUGACGCUCAGGCACGAAAGCUAGGGGAGCAAACAGG